UCCCGCCGGAGGACACAGCUUUUUGGGGUUCGAUUAGGCCAUGCGAGUCGAGAGGGUUCGGCCCUCGGCGUACUGCUCAGUAACACGUGGAUAACCUGCCCUAGGGAAGGGGAUAAUCCCGGGAAACUGGGGAUAAUACCCUAUAGGUUACAGAUGCUGGAAUGCUCUGUAAUCAAAAGUUCCGGCGCCCUAGGAUGGAUCUGCGGCCGAUUAGGUUGUUGUUGGGGUAAUGGCCCAACAAGCCAGUAAUCGGUACGGGUUGUGGGAGCAAGAGCCCGGAGUUGGAUUCUGAGACACGAAUCCAGGCCCUACGGGGCGCAGCAGGCGCGAAAACUUUACAAUGCGGGCAACCGUGAUAAGGGAACCUCGAGUGCCUGUAAAUGCAGGCUGUUCAGAUGCCUAAUACACAUCUGGAGAAAGGGCCGGGCAAGACCGGUGCCAGCCGCCGCGGUAAUACCGGCGGCUCGAGUGGUGGCCACUUUUAUUGUGCUUAAAGCGUUCGUAGCUGGGUUGUUAAGUCUCUUGGGAAAU
RNAcentral lists this ribosomal RNA (531 nucleotides) under uncultured archaeon. Its description in RNAcentral is "bacterial SSU rRNA". It matches the Rfam family "Archaeal small subunit ribosomal RNA", at positions 12 to 550 of the family's 1478-position model. The record is from RNAcentral.